Molecule: ribosomal RNA, 178 nt
Filed under: uncultured bacterium
Lineage: Bacteria
Description: partial 16S ribosomal RNA
Rfam family: Bacterial small subunit ribosomal RNA
Source: RNAcentral
CUCCUACGGCAGGCAGCAGUGGGGAAUUUUGCGCAAUGGGGGAAACCCUGACGCAGCAACGCCGCGUGGAGGAUGAAAUCCCUUGGGAUGUAAACUCCUUUCGAUCGGGACGAUUAUGUCCGGUACCCGGAACGAACGAAGCCCGGCUAACUUCGUGACCAGCACGCCGCGGUAAUUC